AGCAGCCGCGGUAAUUCCAGCUCCAAUAGCGUAUAUUAAAGUUGUUGCAGUUAAAAAGCUCGUAGUUGAAUUUCGGGGUUGACACAUCGGUCGUGCCUUAAGGGGUAUGAACUGGAGUAGUCAGUUUCUCACCUUCUGGAGAACCGCGAUGUCCUUAAUUGGGUGCCGCGAGGAACCAGGACCUUUACUUUGAAAAAUUAGAGUGUUUAAAGCAGGCAUUUUGCUUGAAUACAUUAGCAUGGAAUAAUAAAAUAGGACGGAUGGUUCUAUUUUGUUGGUUUCUAGGAUCACCGUAAUGAUUAAUAGGGAUAGUUGGGGGCAUUAGUAUUCAAUUGUCAGAGGUGAAAUUCUUGGAUUUAUUGAAGACUAACUACUGCGAAAGCAUUUGCCAAGGAUGUUUUCAUUAAUCAAGAACGAAAGUUAGGGGAUCGAAGACGAUCAGAUACCGUCGUAGUCUUAACCAUAAACUAUGCCGACUAGGAAUCAGACGAUGUUAAUUUUUUAAUGACUCGUUUGGCACCUUACGG
RNAcentral lists this ribosomal RNA (527 nucleotides) under uncultured Entrophospora. Its description in RNAcentral is "SSU rRNA". It matches the Rfam family "Eukaryotic small subunit ribosomal RNA", at positions 569 to 1093 of the family's 1831-position model. The record is from RNAcentral. Lineage: Eukaryota; Fungi; Glomeromycota; Glomeromycetes; Entrophosporales; Entrophosporaceae.